RNAcentral lists this ribosomal RNA (1372 nucleotides) under uncultured bacterium. Its description in RNAcentral is "bacterial SSU rRNA". It matches the Rfam family "Bacterial small subunit ribosomal RNA", at positions 28 to 1381 of the family's 1533-position model. The record is from RNAcentral.
GAUGAACGCUGGCGGCGUGCCUAAUACAUGCAAGUCGAGCGAACGGACGAGAAGCUUGCUUCUCUGAUGUUAGCGGCGGACGGGUGAGUAACACGUGGAUAACCUACCUAUAAGACUGGGAUAACUUCGGGAAACCGGAGCUAAUACCGGAUAAUAUUUUGAACCGCAUGGUUCAAAAGUGAAAGACGGUCUUGCUGUCACUUAUAGAUGGAUCCGCGCUGCAUUAGCUAGUUGGUAAGGUAACGGCUUACCAAGGCAACGAUGCAUAGCCGACCUGAGAGGGUGAUCGGCCACACUGGAACUGAGACACGGUCCAGACUCCUACGGGAGGCAGCAGUAGGGAAUCUUCCGCAAUGGGCGAAAGCCUGACGGAGCAACGCCGCGUGAGUGAUGAAGGUCUUCGGAUCGUAAAACUCUGUUAUUAGGGAAGAACAUAUGUGUAAGUAACUGUGCACAUCUUGACGGUACCUAAUCAGAAAGCCACGGCUAACUACGUGCCAGCAGCCGCGGUAAUACGUAGGUGGCAAGCGUUAUCCGGAAUUAUUGGGCGUAAAGCGCGCGUAGGCGGUUUUUUAAGUCUGAUGUGAAAGCCCACGGCUCAACCGGGGAGGGUCAUUGGGAACUGGAAAACUUGAGUGCAGAAGAGGAAAGUGGAAUUCCAUGUGUAGCGGUGAAAUGCGCAGAGAUAUGGAGGAACACCAGUGGCGAAGGCGACUUUCUGGUCUGUAACUGACGCUGAUGUGCGAAAGCGUGGGGAUCAAACAGGAUUAGAUACCCUGGUAGUCCACGCCGUAAACGAUGAGUGCUAAGUGUUAGGGGGUUUCCGCCCCUUAGUGCUGCAGCUAACGCAUUAAGCACUCCGCCUGGGGAGUACGACCGCAAGGUUGAAACUCAAAGGAAUUGACGGGGACCCGCACAAGCGGUGGAGCAUGUGGUUUAAUUCGAAGCAACGCGAAGAACCUUACCAAAUCUUGACAUCCUUUGACAACUCUAGAGAUAGAGCCUUCCCCUUUGGGGGACAAAGUGACAGGUGGUGCAUGGUUGUCGUCAGCUCGUGUCGUGAGAUGUUGGGUUAAGUCCCGCAACGAGCGCAACCCUUAAGCUUAGUUGCCAUCAUUAAGUUGGGCACUCUAAGUUGACUGCCGGUGACAAACCGGAGGAAGGUGGGGAUGACGUCAAAUCAUCAUGCCCCUUAUGAUUUGGGCUACACACGUGCUACAAUGGACAAUACAAAGGGCAGCGAAACCGCGAGGUCAAGCAAAUCCCAUAAAGUUGUUCUCAGUUCGGAUUGUAGUCUGCAACUCGACUACAUGAAGCUGGAAUCGCUAGUAAUCGUAGAUCAGCAUGCUACGGUGAAUACGUUCCCGGGUCU